Molecule: ribosomal RNA, 253 nt
Filed under: uncultured bacterium
Lineage: Bacteria
Description: partial 16S ribosomal RNA
Rfam family: Bacterial small subunit ribosomal RNA
Source: RNAcentral
UACGUAGGGGGCAAGCGUUGUCCGGAAUCAUUGGGCGUAAAGCGCGUGUAGGCGGCUCGGUAAGUCCGCUCUGAAAGUCCAGGGCUCAACCCUGGGAUGCCGGUCGAUACUGCCGGACUAGAGUUCGGAAGAGGCGAGUGGAAUUCCCGGUGUAGCGGUGAAAUGCGCAGAUAUCGGGAGGAACACCAAUGGCGAAGGCAGCUCGCUGGGACGUUACUGACGCUGAGACGCGAAAGCGCGGGGAGCAAACAGG